Gossypium raimondii (Peruvian cotton) is the source of this 144-nucleotide non-coding RNA. Lineage: Eukaryota; Viridiplantae; Streptophyta; Magnoliopsida; Malvales; Malvaceae. The record is from Rfam.
AAUUAAAAUUUUCAUCCAUUUUCACUAUUAAAAUUUGAUGUGAUUGAUGGAAUAAUUAGAUAGUUUCACAUGCCAUGCCAUGUGUACAUCAUGACGAUGUACAGAGACUAAUUUUUAACAGUAAAAACGGAUAAAAUUUUAACA